RNAcentral lists this ribosomal RNA (652 nucleotides) under uncultured bacterium. Its description in RNAcentral is "bacterial SSU rRNA". It matches the Rfam family "Bacterial small subunit ribosomal RNA", at positions 796 to 1449 of the family's 1533-position model. The record is from RNAcentral.
CACGCCNUAAACGAUGUCGAUUAGCUGUUGGGCAGCAUGACUGCUUAGUAGCGAAGCUAACGCGUGAAAUCGACCGCCUGGGGAGUACGGUCGCAAGAUUAAAACUCAAAGGAAUUGACGGGGACCCGCACAAGCGGUGGAUGAUGUGGAUUAAUUCGAUGCAACGCGAAGAACCUUACCUGGUCUUGACAUGUACGGAAUCCUCCAGAGACGGAGGGGUGCCUUCGGGAGCCGUAACACAGGUGCUGCAUGGCUGUCGUCAGCUCGUGUCGUGAGAUGUUGGGUUAAGUCCCGCAACGAGCGCAACCCUUGUCAUUAGUUGCCAUCAUUAAGUUGGGCACUCUAAUGAGACUGCCGGUGACAAGCCGGAGGAAGGUGGGGAUGACGUCAAGUCCUCAUGGCCCUUAUGACCAGGGCUUCACACGUCAUACAAUGGUCGGUACAGAGGGUAGCCAAGCCGCGAGGUGGAGCCAAUCUCACAAAACCGAUCGUAGUCCGGAUUGCACUCUGCAACUCGAGUGCAUGAAGUCGGAAUCGCUAGUAAUCGCAGGUCAGCAUACUGCGGUGAAUACGUUCCCGGGUCUUGUACACACCGCCCGUCACACCAUGGGAGUGGGGGAUACCAGAAGUAGGUAGGGUAACCGCAAGGAGC